AAGAAUAAGCACCGGCUAACUUCGUGCCAGGCAGCCGCGGUAAUACGAAGGGUGCAAGCGUUACUCGGGAAUUACUGGGCGUAAAGCGUGCGUAGGUGGUCGUUUAAAGUCCCGUUGUGAAAGCCCUGGGCUCAACCUGGGAAACUGCAGUGGAUACUGGGCGACUAGAGUGUGGUAGAGGGUAGCGGAAUUCCUGGUGUAGCAGUGAAAUGCGUAGAGAUCAGGAGGAACAUCCAUGGCGAAGGCAGCUACCUGGACCAACACUGACACUGAGGCACGAAAGCGUGGGGAGCAAACAGGAUUAGAUACCCUGGUAGUCCACGCCCUAAACGAUGCGAACUGGAUGUUGGGUGCAAUUUGGCACGCAGUAUCGAAGCUAACGCGUUAAGUUCGCCGCCUGGGGAGUACGGUCGCAAGACUGAAACUCAAAGGAAUUUGACGGGGGGCCCCGCACAAGCGGUGGAGUAUGUGGUUUAAUUUCGAUGCAACGCGAAGAAGCCUUUACCCUGGGCCUUUGACGAUGUCGAAGAACUUUUCCAGAAGAAUGGGAUGGGUGGCCUUCGGGAACUCGAACACAGGUGCUUGCCAUGGCUGUCCGUCAGCUCGUGUCGUGGAGAAUGUUUAGGGGAUUACAGGUCCCGCAACGAGCGCAACCCUUGUCCUUAGUUGCCAGCACGUAAUGGUGGGAACUCUAAGGAGACCGCCGGUGACAAACCGGAGGAAGGUGGGGAUGACGUCAAGUCAUC
Molecule: ribosomal RNA, 746 nt
Filed under: Stenotrophomonas sp.
Lineage: Bacteria; Pseudomonadati; Pseudomonadota; Gammaproteobacteria; Lysobacterales; Lysobacteraceae
Description: bacterial SSU rRNA
Rfam family: Bacterial small subunit ribosomal RNA
Source: RNAcentral